GUAGGUGAACCUGCGGAAGGAUCAUUAACACGUAUCCAACGUUAAACCCCUGUGAACCUUAAGACGCCGCUCCUUGUACUCGUCCGAGAAAUUAAGGAGGAGGGACUUCCGGCAGUGCACCCUAGUCAGAGCGCUUGGAGUUAGUGGCUUGUAUUUCCCCAAGCAGCCAGUGAGUGAAAGUGUCAUUGGUUGUGUAAGGAUUUCGCCUAAACAGCGAUCACUGUAGGUCGAUCACCGACCGGUGAAAUAAGCAACAGAAGCUUUAAUGCUUCCCUCACCGCCCAACUAUUGCCGCCUGCCGCUAACAACGCCGGGUAUUUAAAAACGUACAAAACAACUGUUAACAAUGGAUAUCUUGGUUCUC
RNAcentral lists this unclassified non-coding RNA (364 nucleotides) under rhizosphere metagenome. RNAcentral describes it as "partial ribosomal RNA internal transcribed spacer region". The record is from RNAcentral.